GGUGAACGCUGGCGGUAUGCUUAACACAUGCAAGUCGAGCGGGCCCUUCGGGGUCAGCGGCGGACGGGUUAGUAACGCGUGGGAACGUGCCUUCUGCUUCGGAAUAGCCCUGGGAAACUGGGGGUAAUACCGGAUGUGCCCUGAGGGGGAAAGAUUUAUCGGCAGGAGAUCGGCCCGCGUCUGAUUAGGUAGUUGGUGGGGUAAUGGCCCACCAAGCCGACGAUCGGUAGCUGGUUUGAGAGGAUGAUCAGCAACACUGGGACUGAGACACGGCCCAGACUCCUACGGGAGGCAGCAGUGGGGAAUCUUAGGCAAUGGGCGCAAGCCCGAUCUAGCCAUGCCGCGUGGGUGAUGAA
RNAcentral lists this ribosomal RNA (356 nucleotides) under uncultured Rubellimicrobium sp. Its description in RNAcentral is "bacterial SSU rRNA". It matches the Rfam family "Bacterial small subunit ribosomal RNA", at positions 28 to 412 of the family's 1533-position model. The record is from RNAcentral. Lineage: Bacteria; Pseudomonadati; Pseudomonadota; Alphaproteobacteria; Rhodobacterales; Roseobacteraceae.